UGGUGGCGAGUGGCGAACGGGUGAGUAAUAUAUCGGAACGUACCCUAGAGUGGGGGAUAACGUAGCGAAAGUUACGCUAAUACCGCAUACGAUCUAAGGAUGAAAGUGGGGGAUCGCAAGACCUCAUGCUCGUGGAGCGGCCGAUAUCUGAUUAGCUAGUUGGUAGGGUAAAAGCCUACCAAGGCAUCGAUCAGUAGCUGGUCUGAGAGGACGACCAGCCACACUGGAACUGAGACACGGUCCAGACUCCUACGGGAGGCAGCAGUGGGGAAUUUUGGACAAUGGGCGAAAGCCUGAUCCAGCAAUGCCGCGUGAGUGAAGAAGGCCUUCGGGUUGUAAAGCUCUUUUGUCAGGGAAGAAACGGUGAAAGCUAAUAUCUCUUGCUAAUGACGGUACCUGAAGAAUAAGCACCGGCUAACUACGUGCCAGCAGCCGCGGUAAUACGUAGGGUGCAAGCGUUAAUCGGAAUUACUGGGCGUAAAGCGUGCGCAGGCGGUUUUGUAAGUCUGAUGUGAAAUCCCCGGGCUCAACCUGGGAAUUGCAUUGGAGACUGCAAGGCUAGAAUCUGGCAGAGGGGGGUAGAAUUCCACGUGUAGCAGUGAAAUGCGUAGAUAUGUGGAGGAACACCGAUGGCGAAGGCAGCCCCCUGGGUCAAGAUUGACGCUCAUGCACGAAAGCGUGGGGAGCAAACAGGAUUAGAUACCCUGGUAGUCCACGCCCUAAACGAUGUCUACUAGUUGUCGGGUCUUAAUUGACUUGGUAACGCAGCUAACGCGUGAAGUAGACCGCCUGGGGAGUACGGUCGCAAGAUUAAAACUCAAAGGAAUUGACGGGGACCCGCACAAGCGGUGGAUGAUGUGGAUUAAUUCGAUGCAACGCGAAAAACCUUACCUACCCUUGACAUGGCUGGAAUCCUUGAGAGAUCAGGGAGUGCUCGAAAGAGAACCAGUACACAGGUGCUGCAUGGCUGUCGUCAGCUCGUGUCGUGAGAUGUUGGGUUAAGUCCCGCAACGAGCGCAACCCUUGUCAUUAGUUGCUACGAAAGGGCACUCUAAUGAGACUGCCGGUGACAAACCGGAGGAAGGUGGGGAUGACGUCAAGUCCUCAUGGCCCUUAUGGGUAGGGCUUCACACGUCAUACAAUGGUACAUACAGAGCGCCGCCAACCCGCGAGGGGGAGCUAAUCGCAGAAAGUGUAUCGUAGUCCGGAUUGUAGUCUGCAACUCGACUGCAUGAAGUUGGAAUCGCUAGUAAUCGCGGAUCAGCAUGUCGCGGUGAAUACGUUCCCGGGUCUUGUACACACCGCCCGU
RNAcentral lists this ribosomal RNA (1309 nucleotides) under Janthinobacterium sp. RNAcentral describes it as "bacterial SSU rRNA". It matches the Rfam family "Bacterial small subunit ribosomal RNA", at positions 86 to 1397 of the family's 1533-position model. Lineage: Bacteria; Pseudomonadati; Pseudomonadota; Betaproteobacteria; Burkholderiales; Oxalobacteraceae. The record is from RNAcentral.